ACUUGAUAAGAGAAUUACACUAUAAUGACGGUAUGACUAUAAUUUAUAUUAGGGAUUGACAAACUUUUGGGAAGGUCCAGAUAGUACCUAUUUCAGGAUAUGAAGGGUGAAUAAGAAUAAAAAUCAAGGAUAUUGUGUAAAUAUUCAUAUAAAAAGAAAAAAUAAAUUUCCACAAUUUUUUAUUAAUGAAACUCAAAAGAUAAUAUGAUAACGAUGGAUUAAAAUAUUUUGAUAGUGUAUGCUACUUAGGAGAAGAAUGGAAUUCUGGAGCAAGGGAGAUAACCUUUUGCUUAUUUGGGGUUCAAAGUCAAUAUUCUCAUCAAAGUUAAUUGUGAAUGUUCAUCUGUUAAGGCUAGUGUGUUUUAAAAUUUUAUAUAUUUCAAUUUUGAGAAUUUACUUUUCACAUAGAUACACCAAAUACUGGUAUUAACUCACAAGCAUAUGCUUUUAGUUGAGCACACUCAUCAUUUGGAUGGCAUCUUUUGCCUUUCAGCAUAUCACUGCAUUGCCCAUUAAUCACUUCCAGUUGAAGUAAAGGUGGACACUCCUCAAUUGCAUGAUUAAAUGGAGUUUGAAAUAUGGAAAUUUCCUUCGCAUUUACAUCGAGAUCAGGAAAAAAAAACGCUAUUUAGAACCGUAAUUUUAGUUCGAAAACAUAUAUCUGUUGCAAUCUUCUUGUGUUUACCUUUGACAACAUGUAAAGUUUAUAGAGCAGCUUGACAUUACUUGUGAUUCAAAUGUUAGCUGUUGUCAAAAAGACUUUACCACAGUAUGUUUCACAUAGAAGUGUUGUUUUCACUUGCAAUUUUAGGAAUUCGUUAAGGAACAUUUUCAAGUCAGCGGCAAAAUUCAUUUCCAAAGGAUGGAGUUUGAAUCUUAUCCUCUUGGAUAGGGGGCUGGCAAAGAAUCCACUUCUAUAUUCUUUCUCCCUCUACCGCUUGCUUUCUUCCUCUACUAAUGGAAUUAUUACUCUUCAUUUUCUUUUCUUUUUUCAAAAAUGCCACUUUAUACAAAUAUAUUUGACAUAUUGUGUAAAUUUAAGGCACAUGUUAAUGCAAUUAGCACCUCAAUCAUGUUGCAUAUUAUCCUUUUUUUAGUGGUUGGAGUACUUAAGUACCAGUCUCUUAGCAAGUUUGAUGAUUAUAAUACAAUAUUGUUGUCCACAUUCACUAUACUGUGCCUUAGACCUCUAGGGCUUGUAAAUACUCAUUCCAAGUUUGUACCCUUACACAACAUCUGUACUUCUCAUUUUUAAAAUGAAUCAUGUUUCAUAAAUAUUUUAAUUCCCUCCUCAAUUUGUUGAAUUCUUAAGGAAUUUGUUUUUCCCUUUACCUUUUUUUAAACUUCUAGUCAGAAGUUUUGAUUUCUGCUCCAAACAGAUUGUAGGUUUGACCACGUUAGAGAUGUCCACACUUCUGCUAAUUUAAAUAGAAACUAAUGAAAAUCGUUAAGUAGUUGUCUCACCAGUAGAUUUCACAUCAAGUUCUUACUCUUCUUUCAGAGGAAGGAUCUGUGAUGAGAAUGAAGCACAUUUCUAAAGCUUUUAUUGGUCACUUAGCAAUGGAUGGUGACAGCUGUCACCAUCUCAUCAGCGAAUCCUCUUAUUUCACACUGACUUAACAGAAGCCAGAUUGUUGCAUUUUUAUGAUCAAAAUUUAUUACUCUUCUCGUUUCCCAUUUUUUUUGAAUAUGAAAUCUUCCAUAAAUACCAUUUAAGGUCCAAAGUACAUGCAAUCAUGCAUAUAAUUAUUCAUAUAAUAAGAGCCCAAGCUGGUUACUGCAGUUAAGAGAGCACAGUGCUCUUUUAGGAAAUGCUUUGUUGAUUAUGAAUGUCAGGGUAAAGAUGAUGCUGUUUAUCCUCCCCGUUAUCUUUAUUAUUAUUGACUUCCUUAUCAGUAUCAUAAUCUAUCCAAAUAUAUUUAAAUGAAGACAUUGGGAGCCCAAAUCAUCCAUUCCACUUUCUCUCUUCAUAUCCUGCCAUGAUUUAGUCUUCCUCUUUUAGGUUUCUUUGGAUAAUUAAUAGAAAUUUGUGGAAAUAUUAAAUCUGAUUCCUCUAAAUAAUUUAAUAACAGAUAUUAAGUCUGAUUAGACUUGUGAACAUAUCUCCUUCCAACCUGAGAAGCUGAUUCCUUAAGUAUAAAGAAGACAGAAUUCACAUGUCAAAGCAGAAAUCACGUAAUAAAAACUAUUAGCUGUAUUUUAAGGUUCUAAUUAUUAGUUAGAUCACAUGAAAUAUUAAUCAUAUGACAGGAAAUCUAUUUAACUGAGUCACAACUAAAAUUUGUAAUGAACAUCACAAGCCUUAAAUAUUCUAGUUUUGGGGAUCGGCUGUAGGGAAAGGAUCCAAAAUACAGGUAGAAGCUUUUCUCCACAUGUUAUAAUUUUUCUGCAGCAGUAUUUUAAAAAGAAAAAAAAAAAAAAGACCAUCUAAAUACUACAUUAAGGAAAAUGAUAAAUAAAUUAUAGUGCUUCAUAGAAUAAACUGCAAUAGUUUAAUAGUUAUGAAAUUUUUAUCAUUAUUAUUAAUAACCAGAUAAUUAUAGUUUCAGAUUAAAAAGGCCAUAUGGAAAAUUGGGCACAUAGUAUGAUUUCAAGUGAAAUCAUAAAAAUAAGCAUAGGAAAAAAGUUACAUAAAAAUCCACUGAAUGUUAAAGUUUAUUUUUUCUGAGGAGUAGCAUUAGGUCGAAAUUUUUACUUCUUCUUUAUACUUUUCCUAUAUUUUUCAAUUUUCUACAAUAAGCAUAAAUAAUGAGUCAUAAACCACCUUUAAAAAUUAUAGUUAAAAUAUUUUAAAAUGCGUUGCUAUUGAUUAUGACAUUAAGUAUAUUUUCUUCUAACAGUUUGUCUCUACUAGAUAGAUGCUAACUGCAGUUUUAAGAGGAAAGAAUUUAUUUUUGGCCCAGUGAAUGGUAAAGUGUGGAGAUUCUAAUUAAUUUGAGGAGUUUUAAUAAUUUCUGUGACUCAGUCUUUAAAAACCUAAUCCAUAUAAUUUUCUGUAAAGAAAUAACAUAAUUAUUUUGGGGACCAUACAGAUUGCUUGAUAGAAUUAACCCUUUGAUUCAGGUAGAAACAUCUAUGCAUCUUGCUCAUCCAGUUGGUAGCUGCCUUUCACUCAGAUCCCCUAUUUAACUGUUCUUAAUUAAUAGAGUGAAAUAAAGAUAGUGUGAAAUAUGAUCUAAAUGAACCCAAAAAUUGCUCUGACCCCAUUUCCAUUAAAAAUUUCUGCUGACAAGUUUUCCAUUAGUAUCAAACAGGAAGUUUUAUUUUUUAAUUGUAUUUUUUUUAAAGAUUUAUUUUUGAGAGAGAGAGCACAAGCGGGGACGAAGCAGAGAGAGACGCAGAAAAUCUGAAGUAGGCUCUGUGCUGACAGCAUCGAGCCCCAUGUGAGGCUCAAAUUCACAAGCCUUGAGAUCAUGACCUGAGCCAAAGUCAGAUGCUCAACCAACUGAGCCACCCAGGCGCUCCUAAUUGUAUUUCAAAAAAAAAAAAAAAAAGCAAAACUAUUUAAUAUGAUAUUUAUUAUGUGCAAGACACUGUUCUUAGUACUUUACAAAUCUUAAUUUAUUUAAUCCCCACUAAAGUCUUAUGUAGUACAGCCAAGAAUUGAACUAGGCAGUUGGAUUUCAAGAUUAAAAACCAUAACCUUGUACAUGGAAUAUGUAAUUGUCUCAAUAUCUAACCAGUUCACAGGCCUACUGAUGAGUUCUCAACUUUAGUCUUUACUGAUUAUAGGCUUAUAUUCUGUUAAAUAGUGAAGAGGCAGAUCUGUGUUCACACCAAAGGUUUACAAUGAAUCUGGUAUUGUUUGGUAGAUAACAAGCUUUGAAAAUAUAUCUCAUCAAAGAAUUCUCUAAUUUUUUUUUUUGUUAAAUGAUUUGAAGAUUUAUUAAUCUACUUUUUUUUUUAAGUUUUUAUUUUUAUUUGAGAGAGAGAUAGAGAGCAAACAGGUGAGGGGCAGAGAGAGAAGGAGACAGAAUCCCAGGCAGGCUCCACACUGUCAGCACAGGGCUCGAUGCAGGCGCCUGAACUCAUGAACCAUGAGAUCAUGACCUGAGCCGAAGUCAAGAGUCGGUUCUUAACCGACUGAGCCACCCAGGUGCCCUAUUAAUGCACUUUUAAAUAGCAAGAUAGUGUCUAUGAAUCUCAAGGUUUUCAAAACUUCAUUUAUGAAGGAUUUUUUUGUAUUUAAAAAAAAUUACAUAUUAAAAAACAUAGUCAAUUCACAUGAAAAAUCAAUCAACACAAUGAUUUCAUAGUUGUAAUAUGACUGACCUUCCAAGAAACUGACACCAAUUUAAAAUUUAAAGAUGGAAAUAAAAAAUAAAAUUGAAUUUGCAAGAAUCUUCAAAUUUUAAAGUUAUAUGGAUACUUACAGUUUUUCUAGUUUAGCAGAUUUUGUAAUGUAGUGAUAUUUUCUCCCUAUCUCCAAGAAAUAGCCACUAGCUUCUAUUUGAAUAUUUAUAGAUAAGGUAAAUAUGCAAUGUUUUGAGGCAUAACAUGUCUUUAUGGGCUAGAGCUCAUGAUUAAAAAUAUAAGUUUUUCUCUGUGGUGACCUAAAUUUUCACAUUUGUAUGUUGAAAACAUUUCUUCUAAUUCUAAUUCUGUCACACUGACUUUCAAUGAAAGAAAUACCCUAAACCUAUUUGGAUAGAGCUAUCAGUUUAUCUCUCAGUCUUUCCCCUGCAAACAAAAAUAUCUCUCACUCUUCAACUCUUGACACAGUUUCCAGAGUAUCAAAUUUGGUGUCAUAACUGUAUGUAGUGACCAGAGUCAUUCAUUGAUUACAUUUCGUGUAUAGACAUGAAGUCUGCAUUUUAACUGAAAUGUGUUUGCAUCAUCUUUUAUAUGCUUACGUCCAAUUCCAUCAAAAUCAAACCAGUUACCAGUCUAGGACUGAGAAUCUCUUGGGGUCCCCUGAGAAGUCAAUGGAUAGGUCUCCAGAAAAUUACUUUGACAAAGGUUCUUGUACUCAAACAUGGUGAGAGAUUGACACUGGGAGAUGGGAGAUCUGGGAUCCACAAAGACAAUGCAAAUGAUGGUGAUUUUCAAAUGAAGAAAUUGCUCUCAUGAGGAGAUCAAGGGAAGCUGUGAAUCUGAUUGGAGAGCACCUACCAAAGGGAAGGAAAAUCUUAGCAAUAGAUAAGAUUUUAUUCUUGAAAUUCAUCUUAAAUUAAAACAGGGCACUUAAACAUUUAUGGGCUUUGCAAAAAUAAAAACAAAUACAAAUUUUAGAGUAUUCAUAGAAAUCAAUUUCGUCAAGUUACAUUUAAAAUCAGUUCCUAUAUGUUUUAUUUUACUAAUAUAGGUACUUUCUCUAAAAUGUUAUUGAACUCUUCUAUUUAAGAGACUGUCCUAGUAACAGAGGCUAUAAAGCUGAAUAAAGCAUUCUUUUCUCUAGAUUUCAGUUAAUGACAAAAAGCUAAUGUGUAAAAAAUUAAAGAAUAUAAAAAACAUGAGAACUGUCAUAGUGGUAUACAGCAGAAAGAUUUGGCAACAACUGUGUCUGAUAAUAUCAGUUACUGACUUUUGGAGAAGUUAAAAAAUGUGUGCUUGGCUUGAAAGCAGAUUAAACUUUCAAGGACUAAAUGAGUAAUGGUUAUGCAGUCUGGAAACUCGUAAACAAGAUUAAAAGUGCAGAAAGUUUCUAAGUAAUUAUUUGACUAUGAAUUGGUUCUUUUGCAGUGAAGUCUUUAUAAAUCUAUAAAUAAGGGAAAAAAAAAGGAUUAGGGAUGAAUAGAAUUUUCUUCAAAAUACUUGACAGCCCAUGAACUUGCUGGAAAAAUACAACCAAUAACUAUUUUAAAAGAGUGUUCUGGGGGCGCCUGGGUGGCUCAAUUGGUUGAGUGACUGACUCCUUAUUUCAACUCAGAUCGUGAUCCCAGGGUUGUGGGAUUAAGUCCCUCGUCAGGAUCCACACUGAGCAUGGAACCUUGCUUGGGAUUCCUCUCUUUCUCCUUCUGCCCCUAGCCCCCUCUCAAAAUAAAUAAACACUUUAAAAAAGAAAAAAAUUAAAAAUUUAAAAAAGAGUGUUCUGAAUUGAACCAUAUUUUUGACAGAUGGUCUGGGAAUAUUUCUGUGUGCCUAAUGAGUAAAUUGAAAUAAAAUAAAAAAAAUAAUACUUGAAAUGGCGGAGGAAACACAAUUAUUAAUUAACAUUGUCAAAGAGCAUAAACAAAUAAUCCAGGCCAAAAUAAUCAUUUAAGAAUUAUCCAUGGUGACAAUGCAGUUUUACGUUCAGGUGUCAACCAUUUCUUUCUUUCCUGAGCCCUGGGGAAACAGAGGCUUUCAACUGUGGAGGAAAGAAAGGAGGAUACGUGAAUGUGAUCAUUAAUGGGAGAACAGGGCUUCUGUUGUUUUGUGAAGUGCAAAACAACCAAUGGGUCACAGGACGGCAGAAUAUGCUGGAAGCCCUUUGGAACUCAAUUCUGAGAAUGCCAUUUCUUUCCCCUCAGGGAGCCCUGAAGAACAAGGAAAUUACUUUGGUCAGUAUGCCUCUGUGUGUGUCUGUAAAUAUUUUCGGCUUAUUCCAGUCGCUGAAGCAAUUGAGGUUUACCACAAUGCUAUUUAGGAGGUUUAAUUUGAAUUUGAUAUUGUAGGGAAUUAUUUUAUGUAGGCUUCUAUUUCGAGAGUAUGCGUUUGACCUUCGCUCAGCUGUGCUUUUUUUGUUACACAAGAACAUGGGGCAUAAGUGUCCAGAACAGGAAUAUCCAGUUUUCCCAGCACCAUUUAUUGAAGAGACUAAUCUUUCUCCAUCAAGUAUUCUUGAUUCCCUUUUCAAAUAUUGGUUGAUCAUACAUGCAUCAAAUCUGUGCUCUCAGUUCUGUUUGUUUGGCCAAUGCAUUGGUUUUUAUUCCAGUACCAUACUGUUUGGAUUACUAUAGCUUUGUAAUAUAGUUUGAAACCAGGAAGUGUGAUACCUCCUGCUUUUGCUAUUUGAGGUCUUUUGUUGUUCUAUACAAAUUUUGGGAUAUAUAUAUAUUUUUUUCUAUUUCUGUGAAAAAGUGCCAUUGGAAUUUUGAUUGCAUUGAAUCUAUAGAAGAUUUGGGGUAGAAUGCAUAUUUUAACAAUAUUCUUUUGAUCCAACAAAACGAUUUCUUUCCAUUUGCAUCAUUUUUUAAUUUCUUUCAUCAGUGUUUUAUAGUGUUAAGGGUAUAGAUCUUUUGCUUCCUUGAUUAAAUUUAUUCCUAAGUAUUUUAUUGUUUUUGAUGCCACUAUAAAUAGGAUUAUACUCUUUAUAUCCUUUUUUUCUUAUUCUUUAUAUCCUUUGCAGAUAGUUUGUUGUUAGUGCACGGACAUGCAACUGGUUUUUGUAUGUUGAUUUUGUGUCCUGCAACUUUCCUGAAUUUGUUUAUUAGUUCUAACAGUUUUUUGGUGGAGCCUUUAGGAGUUUCUUUAUAUAAGAUCAUAUCAUCUGCAAACUGAAAGAAUAUUACUUUGUUUCCUUUCCAGUUUGGAUGCCUUUUAUUCCUGUUUCUUACCUAAUUGCUCUAGCUAGACAUUCCAGUACUAUGUUGAAUAAAAUUGGUGAAAGUGGGCACCCUUGUCUUGUUCCUGAUCUUAGAAGAAGAGCUUUCAGCUUUCACCAUGGUAUGAUGUUAGCCAUAAGCUUGUCGUAUAUGGCCUUUAUCAUGUUGGGGUCUGUUUAUACCAAAUUUGUUGAGAGUUUUAACCAUGAAAAGAUGUUGAAUUUUGUCAAAUGCUUUUUCUGCAUCUGUUGAGAUGAUCCUAAGGUGACUUUUUAUUUUUCAUUCUAUUAAUGUGGUAUAUUAUAUUUAUUGAUUUGCAUGUAUUGAACCAUACUUGCAUGCGAGGGAUAAAUCUCACUUGAUCGUGGUGUAUGAUUCAUUUAAUGUACUGUUGGUUUGUUAGUAUUUUGUUGAAAAUUUUUGCCUCUGGAUUCACCAGGAAUAUUAGCCUUCAGUUUUCUUUUCUUGUAGUGCCCUUAUCUGGCUUUGGUGUCAGGGUAAUGUUGGCUUUGUGAGUCUGGGAGUGUUCCCUCCUCUUCGAUUUUCUGGAAGAGUGUGACGAUUGGUAUUAGUACUUCACGUGUUUCAUAGAAUUCACCAGUGAAAUCAUCUGAUCGGGGCUUUUCUUUCUUGGGAGGUUUAUGGCUACUGAUUUAAUCUCCUUACUUGUUCUUGGUCUGUUCAGAUUUUCUAUUUCUUCCUGAUUCAGUCUUGCUAGGUUGUAUGUUUCCAGUAAUUUAUCCUUUUCUUCAAGGUUAUCCAAUCUGUUGGUGUAUAAUGUUCAUAAUGGUCUCUUACAAUCUUUUGUAUUUCUGCAGUAUCAGUUGUAAUACCUCCUCUCUCUAAUUUUACUUCAUUUUUUUCUUUUCUUAUUUAGCUUAGCUAAAAUUGUCAAUUCUAUUUUUCUUUUCAAAAAACCAACUCUUACUUUCAAUGAUCUUUUCUAUUUUUUAAUCUUUGUUAUUCCCUUCCUUCUGCUAAAUUUGGGUUUAGUUUCUUUUUCUUUUCCUAGUUUCUAGAGGUGCAAAGUUAGUUUGUUGAUUUGGGAUCUUUCUUUUUUAAAAAUAGGCAUUUAUUGCUAUAAACUUCACCCUUCGAUCAGCUUUUGCUGUAUCUAUAAGUUUUGGUAUUUCCACUUUCAUUUGAUUCAAGAUAUUUAUGAUUUUCCUUUUGAUUUCUUCUUUGGCCCAUAGGUUGCUGAGGAAUGAGCAACUUACACAUAUUUAUGAGUUUUCCAGUUUUCUUUCUGUUAUUUAUUUCUAGUUCCAUACUAUUGUGGUUGGAGAAGAUACUUGGAAUGACUUGAAUCUUUAAAUUUGCUAAGACCUGUUUUCUGACAUAACAUCAUCUAUCCUGGAGAAUGCUGUUGGAUGGAAUCUUCUAUAUUUAUCCGUUAGAUUCAUUUGGUCUAAAGUAUAGUUCAAGUCCAAUGUCUCCUUAUUGAUUUUCUUCCUGGAUGAUCUGUUCAUUAUUGAAGGUGGGGUAUUGAAGUCCCCUACUAUUACUGUAUUGUUGGCUACUUCUCCCUUCAAAUCUGCUGUUGGCAUUUGCCAAUCUGUUGGCAUUUGCUUAAUAUAUUUAGGCGUUCCAAUGUUGUAUGCAUAUGUGUUUACAGUUGUCAAGUCCCCUUGUGAAUUGACCCCUUUAUCAUUAUACAGUGACCUUUUUCUCUUGUUUGAGUUUUUGACCUAAAGUCUAUUUUGUCUAAUAGAAGUAUAGCUAUCUCUUUUCUCCUUUAUUUGGAAUAUUUAUAUGGAAUAUUUUUUCCAUCCCUUCACGUUGAGUCUGUGUGUUUUUAAAGCUGAAGUGAGUCUCUUAUAGGCAGAAUAUAGUUGGCCUUUUUUUUUGUCAUUGUAAUCUUUUUAGCCACUCUUUGGAUUAGAGAAACCAAUUCAUUUACAUUUAAAGUAAUUAUCAAUUUGUAAGGACUUACUAGUGACAUCUUAUUAGUUUUCCAGUUCCUUUGUUUCGUUUUCUUCUCUUCUUGUCAUUCUUUGUGAAUUGAUGAUUUUCUGUAGCAAUAUGCUUUGAUUACCUUCUCUUUAUCUUUUGUACCUACUGUGGGUUUUUGCUUUGUGAUUCAUAGGGUUUACAUACCAUUUUAACAUCAUAACAUAACAUAGAUAUAAUAGUCUAUUUUAAGCAAAUAAUGAUGUAACUUUGAUUACUUACAAAAAUUAUUCUCUUUUACUUCUCCCUUCAUAUUUUAUGUUUUUGUUGUCACAAUGUAUAUUUCUUUAAUUUUUUUUAUAUUUAUUUAUUUUUGAGACACAGAGAGAGACAGAGUGUGAGCAGGGGAGGGGUGGAGAGGGAGACACAGAAUCAGAAGCAGGCUCCAGGCUCCCAGCUGUCAUCACAGAGCCUGACACGGAGCUCAAACCCACAAACUGUGAGAUCAUGACCUGAGCCAAAGUCGGACACUUAACUGACUGAACCACCCAAGCGCCCACAACUUACAUUAUUUUAUAUUGUGUGUCCAUUAACAAAUUAUUGUAGCUAUAGUUAUUUUUAAUACUUUUGUUUUUUGAUCUUCAUACUAAAGUUAAGUGAUUAACAUCCUAUCAUAUUACAGUAUUAAAAUAUUCUAAAUUUAAUGUUAUACUUACCUUUACCAAUGUAUUUUAUAUUUCAGCUUUAAGGACUGCUUUCAGUAUUUCUUGUAAGGCUGGUCUAGUGAUCAUAAAUUCUACCGUUUUGUGUGUAUCUCAAGAGUCUUUAUCUCUCCUUCAUUUUUGAAGGACAACUUUGCUAUGUAAACUAUUCUUGUUUGGCAGGUUUUUUUCUUUCAGCACUUUGAUUAUAUCAUCCCACUCUUUCCUGGCCUGAAAGGUUUCUGCUGAGAAAUCCACUGAAAAGCCCUAUGGCAUUUCCCUUGUAUGUGAGAAUUCUUUUCUCUACCUGCUUUAAAAAUUUUCUUUGUCUGAAGUUUAAAUACUGGGAAGAAAACUAAAACAAAAUACAUGUUACUUAAAUCACCAAUUGUCACUUAACAGUGUCUGAAAUUACUAGUCUAUGCAAUUAGCCAGGUGAUAUGAAUUAGAGACAUAAAAUUCUGCAAGGAAGAGGGCAAAGUAGCUUUUCAGAUUAUGUCAUUGUAAAUCUACAAAACCAAAGGAAUCAAAUUAAAAACGACUAGGAAAAAUAAGAUCAUUCAAUAUGGUGACUCGUUAAAAAUUAAAAUACAAUAAGUAAUAUGUUGUUGGAUAUAAAUAAUAAUCAAUUGGAACAUAUAAUGAAAGCAUAAAUAAGAGAAAAAAUCCCAUUUUCAACAGCAACAAAUAAUUUUAAUACUUGGGAGAAAAUGAAUACAAAAUAUAUUGAACAUGGAUAUUUUUAAAUUAAAUUUAUGGAGGGACAUCAACUCAAAACUAUACCAACCUAGGACCUCUCAAAUACUUGAAUGAUUUGAAUACUUUAAAUGAUGUACCUUGAUCUUUUUCAAAAAUAUCUGAUACUAUAAACAAACAAAUUAUUAUAGAUUAUUCUAUACAUUUAAUACAAUCCCCCCAAACUGCAGAAGGAAGUUUGUUAGGGGGUUUGGAAUAAACUAUAUGUUUAUUAUUGAGUUUAUUUUGUAAAAAUUCAUGCUACAAAAUAACAUCUGACAUUUUGUAGAAAUAAUUUAUGUAUGUAUAGAAAGAUUUUGCAAAGUAACAAGUAUCAGUGAUUUUUUUUCGUAGUAAAAUAACUUACCAAAGAAGUGAAGACAAUGGACAUCAUUUAUAAAAUGUAGCUGGAAAAAGUGAAGCAAUCAAUGCCAGAAAACCAAUGCUGACUGUAAAAUUGCCAUAAUAGUCAUAAUAACUGUUAUGAAUUCAGUCAUUGCUUUCCAACUACCAGAUAAGGAAAGAACAGAACAUCUGAUUUCAAAGUAUUUUAUUGACACUUCAUUGAUUUCUAAUUUAAUUUAUGUGAUUUCUUUGAUCACACUAACAAAAUCAAGCCUGAAAUUCACUUUUUUUCUCUUCAGAUAUGCCAUCAUUAACUCUGUAGAACCUGGAAAAUUAGAAUCUGUUAGAUGUGGGAGAAUGAGAGGAAGAUAUGUGAUUGUCAACACUCCAGGUAAGAAACAUAUCCUCAACUUUGUGUGAGAUGCAAGUCUUUGGUCCAUGCCCAGUUUUGCCUAUAUCAAAAGCCACAUGGGUCAGUGGGUGUUACAUAUAUUUUCCUGAUUAAUAGGACAUUUCAUUUAUUUUUUUAAGUUUAUUUAUUUUUGGGAGAGAGAGAGAUAGUGAGCAAGGGAGGGGCACAGAGAGGGAGACAGAAUCCCAAGCAGGCUCCAUGCCUUCAGUGCAGAGCCUGAUACGGGGGCUUGAACUCAUGAACCAUGAAAUCAUGACCUGAGCUGAAACCAAGAGUCAGACACUUAACCUAUUGAGCCACCCAGGCACCCCAUGACAUUUCCUUAUUUUUAUUCAGUUAUUUCAUUAUAUCAUGAAGUACAGAAGGGAAGACAACAUUCUUCAUAUUAAAUAAUAUGGAAAUUGAAAUAUCUAACGAUGCUGCGACUCUAACUUCAUAAUCUUCCUCAGAGUAUUGUUUCAUUUCUCUUCACUGGCCAUUUCCUCUGUUGUCUUAUUUAUUCAGUAUUUUCUUUCUUGUUUUAUAUUUUCCACUUGUCGAUUUAUUUUUGUUAAAGAUUAUAUGAACCUAGGACUUCUCAUAUUUGAGUGAAGGGAAAAAUUUCUCAUAGAUUCCCUGUAUUAGUUUAUUUCCGUAGUUCAUGCUGCUUAAAUAAAUGCCAACAAACAAUGAGAUAUUUACUUUUUAUGCUUAUAUUUCUUAUGUAAAAACUAUAAAGCAAAACCUAAUUGAUAAAUUAAUUACCAAAAAACUAUAAAUCAUAUUGUUAACAAAGUUUAGAGGGACUGGGAAGAUGUUUUGCUGCAAAUAAAUUGCAAAGAGCAAAAAAAAAGAUAUUUUACUUAUGGUCAACUUGACUAUUUGGCUUUACUUGGAACAUUUUUUGAGUUGUUAUCAUCACCAUUUUUAUUUUCCUUUUUUAACUAUACAUAUUUUGUUAAAGACUGACCCAUUAUUUUGGCAGAUCAAUUCACUUACUAGAACACUUCAAAAUGAUUUAAGAUACCACUGACUAGGGGCGCCUGGGUGGCUCAGUCGGUUAAGCGGCCGACUUCGGCUCAGGUCAUGAUCUCACGGUCCGUGAGUUCGAGCCCCGCGUCGGGCUCUGUGCUGACAGCUCAGAGCCUGGAACCUGUUUCAGAUUCUGUGUCUCCCUCUCUCUGACCCUCCCCCAUUCAUGCUCUGUCUCUCUCUGUCUCAAAAAUAAAUAAACGUUAAAAAAAAAGAUUUAAAAAAAAAAAAAAAGAUACCACUGACUAAAAAUAAUUUAUUGUAUAGAAUUAUCCUACUUUGUCUAAGUAACUUGAAUAUUGAUACAAAGGUAGCAUCCAUCUAAUACAUCUGCUUGCUAAGUAAAUAUACUGCCAAGUUUUUGAAUAUGGUAUAGUUCCUUCAGGGAAAAAAAAAAUUCUUGGCAUAAUUAGAAAGGGAAUUAUGGGUAGAAAGUGGAAAUAAGGGUAAAUAGAAAAAUACCUAAAUAUAAAUAUAAAAAAUACCUGAAAGAAUUUAACUAUUAGUCAUUUCUACUUUGAGAAGAGGGGUGGUAUUUAGGAAGGGGUAAAAGUUUAUUUUUAUUUUUUCAUCCAUAGAUGCUGCACUGAAUAGCCAUGAAUUCAUAUAUUAACUUUUAAUAUAAAAUUAGUAAAAUCAGAAAAAAAAUUAAGUUAACUCAUUUUGUACUUCUCCAUAGAAGACCACGCUUCAUUUUACAAACAAGAUCUAAACCUCUCAUUUAGUGAUUGUCUCUCUUUAUCUAUUUAAUUUCUUAUCCCUAGAAGUCAAAAUUAUCUUAGGAUUAAAAAUACUCAGUGAACAUACCUUUAUAAUGUAAUAAAUCUUUUCUUUGACUAAAUUAAAUAACCUUUAAUGUUAAGUCCAUUUCUGUAACAGUAUCUGUGGUUAAUGAUCAGAAAAAUAAAUAUGUAAGGAAGGCAAUAGAAAUAAAGAUCACAUAAAAUAUCACCUUUCUUUCCCUUGUUUAUACUAUAAAUAGGAAAAAUCAGAAGGAAUGUAGAAAACCAUUAAAAUUGCCAUUCGUCCCAAGCCAUAGUCUGACAACAGAAUUCAUUUAAAACUUGGAAUCUAAAUAUGAAUCAUGGGAAUCAAUCCUCUUUUGCAUGAAGCCAUUUGUAGAGAAUCAGGAGAUGACUGGUAGUUUGAAUUCAUAAUAAUAGUAACAAUGGUACAUUUUAGCCAGAUCGAUAGAUAUGAGGUAUAGUUUAUAUACCAACUUUUCAAGAAAUGGAAAUAUUUUUCCCCAUUAGUUCCCCUUAAAAAAAAGUCACUUCCCAUUCUGCCAUCAGUACAUUGCACUUUUCUUUUGGUGUAUAGCUCACUUUGGCUGUACUUUGGCAUUUAAGGUCCAAUACUAUCUCGGGGGAAACAUCUACCCAACAAUCUCUGUGAUCCUUUGAUAUAUCCUGACAAGCUAUUGAUGGAUCUUUCAUGAGUGACUUUGAUAAAAUCCCUUGUAUUCAGACCCGAAAAGAGACUGAACCCUGGUGGAUCACGGAUCUGGGUACCCCUUGGGCUGUGGCCAUUGUGUCAUCCACCAACUGAGAAGAAUGGGUCAUGAAGAGAGAAAAGGAGCUGUUGUUCGGCCUGGACACUCACCUGCUUACAGUGGCAAAACAAAUUCCAGGUAAAGAUCGAAACUUUAAGCUUCAAAAAUAACAACUAAAUAACUCAGUAAGUGUUUAUAUCGGUUUAUGCCCAUGCAGCAGUAGUUCUUUUCUCUCAUUGUAGUUUGGAGAAUCAACUGUAGACAAAGAUAUCUGUAUCAUCUAGGUAUAUGGAAACAGAUACACUAUUCUCAAAUGAACAUUUAAUGUAUUUAAGUUGAUCUUUCAAUUUGCUAAAAGGGAACCCUUCCUUGAGGUAAAAAGAAUGAAGUUAACAUGAGCAUUUCAUAAGAUUUACCGGUAAUUCGAUUGAAAUAAUUAAUUCGGCCAAAAUAAUCCAAGCAGUUGAUACCAUAUAAUUAAAUACUAUAACUUUUUCUAGAAUGAAAACAUAAAUAUGUAGUACCAGCUCUAGAUGUAAGCUAGGUAUGUCAACUCUAUUUAACCAUAAAAUUUACCUUUUCAUGUAUCUUAAGCUCGAGUAAUGUGAGGAAUGUAGAUAAUCCCAUUUGUAUCCAUAAGGCAGGUGGUUUCCUGGAAAAUUGAUACUGGAACCUAGAUUCUUAUAGUAGUGAUACAGUGAGUCUUUUUCUUUGUUUUUGCAGCAUAGAAGAGACAGAUUAGCAGUCUUGACAAUAUAACUUUUACACAGAUGAAGUGAAAGAUAUUCAGGAAGCAUAGAGGCAGUGAAAGAGGCAAUAACAGUCUCAAUUUGCAAAGCAGCGACAUAAGAUUUUUUUUUUCCUAUUUGAUUUGCUAGCAUACACUCAUAUUAUUUUGUUAACUUUUUUAAAAAGAUCCACUUGGAGAAACAUAACAAUUCAUGAUUUAAAUGAGAGUGAUGUAGUAAUUACCCAGAAGUAUAUAAAAUUUCCCUUUUAUUGUUAUCUGUGAACUAUUUACAAUGAAUUUUAAUUUCCUCUGGUCAUUAAUUAUCUGCAUAUUUAAUAUUUCAGAAGUAUCUCCAGUACUGCCUCAUAGGGUAGAUACAACCCAGUCCAAUACCUUGAAUCUGUGUAGAUCUUUUCAAAAAGCCAUCGUCUUUGGUAAAGUUAUGUAUAUUCUGACCUAUUAAGAGACUAAUUUCCUGUUGAAUGGUGGAUUUGGCCUUUCCAGCAAAAUUUGUUACUCAGCAAACAAAGAGAUGGUUGCCAGGAAGAAAUAAAUGAAGCAAUCUAUGAUUCUAGCUGGAGAUUAAUUUUUUUAAUGUUUAUUUAUUUUUGAGAGAGAGACAGACAGAGCUUGAGCAGGAGAGGGGCAGAGAGAGACGGAGACACAGAAUCUGAAGCAGGCUCCAGGCUCUGAGCUGUCAGCACAGAGCCUGAUGCAGGGCUUGAACUCACGAACCACAAGGUCGUGACCUGAGCCAGAGUCAGACGCUUGACCGACUGAGCCACCCAGGUGCCCCAAGUCAGAGAUUAAUGUGAAUAUUGUGCCACAUUAAAUCCCAGGUAUGAAUCCAAGUUUUGAAUUCUAGAAGGACCAUAUGCUUAUCUUUUUUUGUUUUCACUGAUUUGGAGAUACGAUGUAUAUUCAAGAAUUAGAAUAUAAUGAAAUUAGAAGAGCUGCAUCAACGUGAUUCUGUCCCAGGGUCAAAUAACUUCACAGCUUAGCACCUUCAGUGACUCCAGAUCCUCUGAAAGAGCCAUAGAUGAAUCUACGAAGUCUCUUGCAUUCAAACAGAAUUGGAGGAUGACCCAUGUCAGAUGGUAGAUUUGGGCUCACUACAUGUUGUCAACUAUAUUUCAGUCAUUGACAGCGCAGACUUUUGCCAUGAAAAUCUGUAAGAGGCUAUAAUUCUGGUUGGAGAGUCCAUCUGAGAAAGAUGGCACAUUGAACCCCAGAUAUUAAAUCCAGAUUUUAAUUUAACAUUAACUUGGUAACAUAAAUAAUUUCACAUUAAAUAUCAAUGUAAUUGAGGGAAGAAAUGGAAAUUAUGAAGGGAAUUUACACAAUUAGUUUCAUUGUAUUAUAUUGACACUUCAUGUGAAAUUGUUUAUAUUACCUAUAAAAACCAGUGUAGGACUUUCUUCUCUCUUCAACAUCAAAGUGUAGGGCUACUUUUAAUCAACAAAUAAAGGACGUUAUUCAAAAAUUUAUACCUAAUUUAGUUGCAGCUGAGUGACACAUAAACUGAUACUGUACCAACAUCAACAAAAAUGUCACUUAUAUUUUCCCCAUAAUUCGUGGAUUAUCAAAAAGGUAAGUUUACUACCGAGGUAUAUCAGUAUUAAUUAACUGUGGCAAAACACAUGAAAAGAAAAAACGAUAUUCAUCGGCAAUUGCAGCAAGGGUGAUGAUAAUAAUUAGUGUCUGUUGGUGUUAGUCAAGGCAACCUUAGUCUUAUACAGCGAUUUGACGGUUGAGCUAAGUGGGGUAAUAGACUAUAUAAGCAGCUACAUUUCAGGUGUCAUGUGAUAUGGCAUGGAAGAAAAGUCAUAUUUAUGUGCUAUUAGUAAAUAUGGAGAGCUCUUGGGAUGAACAAAAGAACAAUGCAGUUUCUACCCUCCCAGAGUUACUUUUUAUUGAGGAAAGAGAGUAUUUAAGAAAUUGAUGAAAGUACAAUGCAUUUGGCACACAGAGGGCAAGGUGAAGAGUGUACAUGUGAGGUCAGAAAAAUAAAUAGGAUCUGAAGCAUACAUAAUAGCGAAAAAUUGGAAGCAAUUUAAAUUUCCAAUAACAAGGAAUCAUUUAAAUAAGUAAUUUUCAACCCCUGAAAAUGAUAGAGGUAUAUGAAUAUAUAUUUAUAUACAUAUAAAUGUACAAAUUUAUAUAUAUUUACAAAAUUAUAUAUAUAUACACAUAUAUAGCUAAAUAUAUAUACAUAUAUAUGUAUUUAGGUACAUAUAUAGAGAUAUAUUUAUAGAUAUAUAAAUUUUUAAAUGUUUGCAAUUUACCAAGUGAAAACAGGUUCAAAAUCGUGUGUGUAUUUAGAUAAGUAGUCUAUUGAUAGAAAAAUAUGUAUUUAUAUGUGUUUCUGUAUGGAAAAAUCUUAUGAUGUACACUGAAAUCUUAAUGGUGUUUAUCUUUUUAUGGCAAGAUUUUAGAGAAUUUUUAUUUUCUUCUUUUAACCAACGUAAAUUUUUUACACACAACUAUCUUUUCUAUAAAUAUGUAUCCUGUUAGUUUAAAGUAGUGUUUCUUUUUAAGCUAUAUGAAAUGUGACUGAGAUUCAUCAGAAUAACACAGUUCAAUCAGAGGUUGAAUCAGCAAUCAGAACAGGCAAAUCCUCUAAAUGCUAAAAACUUGCAAGAACACUUUAUUAGUGUUUGAUUAUUAGUUUGAUACUCCAUUAAAACAAAAGGAAGUUUUUCUGAGAGAGAGAGAGAGUACAAGCAAGGGAGGGGCAGAGGGACAGGGAGAGAGAGAAUCUUAGGCAGGCUCUAUGCCCAGCACAGAGCCUGUUUGGGGGGGGGGGGGCUUGAUCUCCCCACCAUGAGAUCAUGACCUGAUCCAAAAUCAAGAGUCAGACACUUAACCAACUAAGUCACCCCAGUGCCCAGAUUCUUGUUUAAGAUGGAAAAUAUAUCCCUUUUGAUUUGGAGAAAAAUGUGGGGAGAUCAUUUUAGAAAAUGCGGUUUAUGUGUCCAUGGCUCUUUGUUUCCUGGCCCUGGAAAAUAAGAAGAGUUCGAACAUUCUGAAAAUUAUUUAAAAUGUUGGAAUGGCCACCAGGAUCUUCCUUGGUGUUGAUACAUAUUGAAUGAAUAAUGGAUGAGAGUGAGUGAGUGAACGAAUGAAUUCAUGAAUGGAUGGAUGAAUAAAUGAAGAGGGGAUUCUAGAAGAUUAAAAACUUAAGUUAAAAAGGAAAAAAGCAACAUAAUAUUCCGCCACCAAGAAAGUGUUCCCAGUGUUACUGCUCUCUAGCAAUAACAUAGUGUUCUCUUAACUCACCUACUGGCUCCUCUGCCUACAGCUGAUUUACUUGUUGCAUAUACCACAGCCUCCUGUAUUGAAGCAAAGUAGGUUUGGAAACUGAGUCAAUUGGUAAGAACACCCAAGUCAAAGUAUCUUAAACAAUAAGGAAGUAAGCACCUGACAUAACAUGACAUACGAAGGUACAGUGGCACUGGGGUCGGCGGCGCAGUGGCAUCAUCAGUGCUGGCUUCAUCUCAGGCAGUGGUGAGAUGGCUGUGGCAGGUCCAGGUAUGUCACCUGGACGGGCUGAUGUCUGGAGUCAGAGAGAGACCAUCGUUUCCCUCCUACUCUUCUUUAAGAGCAAAGAAAACUUUGGCGAGGUCCCUGAAAGACCUCCCCACAUAUCUCAUUGGCCAAAAUUGUAUCACAUGGCCGGGCCUCAAGUAAUGAUAACAAAGGCAGUGGAGCUACCACAGCUCAAUCAGCCACUCAGGGGUCACCCCUGGAACCGGGCAGGAGCCAUGCCUCCCCAGAAGCUCAUGUUCAGAAUCAGCAGAUCCCGGAACAAAUUAUGCUUCUGGGCAGAAAAAGGAAGGGACUUAAGGUCAUUAUAGAUAUCUUUAGCAUCAGAGAGAUGAAAUUUAAAUGGGUGCUUUUAAACUUCUGUCAUUUUCUUCCUUCUCCCAGUAGUUGGGAGUCUUCCCAGCAACCUUUCUCUUAUAUUUUUUUAUGGUAUUUACUGUUCCCACAUCCUUUUCAGCUUUCUUCUGCUGCCAACAGAAAGAGAAAGAAAAUGUGCCACGUUACAGUGAAAAAUGAGACACUUUUGUGGCAGUUGACUAUGUAUUAAAUAUUUCCACGAGCUAACCUCUAAUUGGUAUCUCAUUUCAGUAUAGUAAACUUUGUUUAUUAUGAAUCCAUCAUUUUUUACGUACACUAAGCUGGGUUUAUUCUUGCCUUGACUGGGUUGUUUUGACAGUUAAUAAGUAAUUCUAGGUAUAAAUUAUUUAAGUAACUUUCCACAAAGCAUUGUGCUAUGAAAUCAAAGCUUUCAUCACCUACCUUAAUUUGAUCCUGGAAAAAACGUACAGAAAGUUAGAUACCUACGUAUGAAGUUGUCUUCUUUUUCCUUUCGUCUUCUAGUGGUUGCAUUAUUGUUACGCCGUUGACACGAAAUUGGUUUUCUGUUUCAUAUAUAAAUUAGACUAAAUAAUAGAACUUCUUGACAGAAUAAGAGACUUGCAUUAUUCACAAUUCAAGUGUUCCUUCUGUAGUGUAGAGAAGGUAUACAGAUAAAUAUGUAUUGUACACUUUCCUCAUUAUUCCCUUUCUUUUCUUUAACUCUCAUACACACAGAACAGCUUUGCACUGGGCCGAUACCAACACUUAAGGCUAACCACCUUCCUUUUUCCCUCACGAAAUUGGACAGCAGUUCCUGCCAUAUCAGGUCAUUAACUGUUUAUUGCUCAGUUAAUUGAGUGCCAUAUAAAAAUGAGCUGGCCCGGGGGGGGGAGGGGAAAUUAUCUGGCCUUCCCACCUGGGCAAGCUAUGAACUGAGGAUCUGGGAACCAAUAUAGUCAUGAGGUAACGGAAGAAAAUUAAAGACAAAAUUCAAUGGUAGACUUUCAGUUCCAGGAAGGUAGGAUAGAAUGUACUUGUUCCCUGGUAAGUACACCAAAAACCUUGGACAUUAUAUAUAAAACAAACAAAAGAAGGCUCUGAAGGGUGAAAAAAAAAAAAACAGAUUAAACUUUAAAUUACAAUACUGCUCAUAAUCACUCAAAAAAUAAAUACUUUGGUGUAAAUCUAACAAAGCACACAUAUUCCUUGUGGACUGAAAACUACAAAACUCUAAUGAAAGAAAUCAAGUAAGAUCUAAGUAAAUGGAGAGACACGUAUUCAUGGAUUGGAAGAUGCAACAUCUUAAAAGUAUCAGUCCUCCCCAAUAUUUCUAUCAAAAUAUUAGCAAGAUUUUCUGAAGGCAUAAACAAUAUUACCUUAAAUUUUAUGUGGAGAGAUAAAAGACUACAAUAGCUAAAACAAUUUUUAAAAAAAGAAAAAAGGAAGGAAGAAUCAGUCUAUGCAGUUUCAAAAUUUAUUAUAUAAGUGCAGUCAUCAAGACUGUUUGUCACAGGUAGAAACAAAUCCAUCCAUCACUAUAACCAAACAGAGAAUCCAGAAAUAAACCUACACAAAUAUGAUUUUUGGCAAGAAUGCAAAGCAAUACAAUGGAGGAAACACAGCCUUUUCAACAAAUGGUAUGGGAGCAAUUGGACAAUCAUAGGCAAAUGAAUGAUGAAUGAAUGAUUGAAUGAAUGAAUGAACAUCAUGACGCUCUAUCUCAGUGGCACUUAUAAAAAAAUUAACUCAAAAUGGAUCAUCAACUUAAGCAUAAAUUUAAAACUAUAAAACUAUUAGAAAAAAACAUAAAGGAAAAUCUUUGGGAUCUACAGCUAGGCAAAGAGAUCUUAGACACAACACAAAGUGUUAUCCAUAAAAGGAAAGUUCCAUAAACUGGACUUAAUCAAAUUUAAAACUUUUUUCUGUGAUAGAUACUUUUAAAGAGGAUGAAAAGAAAAAGCUACAGAAUGGGGAAAAUAUUUGCAAACCACGUAUUUGACAAGAGAGUAAUAUAUGAAAAUAUAUAAAGAACUCUCAAAAUUCAACUGUAAAAUUAUAGAUAAUACAAUUAGGUCAUGGGCAAAAGACAUGAACAGACAUUUCACUAAAGAUAUGCAAACAGAAAAUGUACAUAGGAAAAGAUGUUCAACAUCAAUAGCUAUUAGGGAAAUGAGAAUUAAAGCAACAGUGAGCUAUUAUUACAUACCAGUUAGAAUGGCUAAAACUAAAAAUAGUGGGAACAGUGAAUGCUGGUGAGGAUGCAGAGAAAUUGGAUCACUGGUACGUUGUUGAUGGGACUAUAAAAUGGUAUAGCCAUUCUAGAAACAGCUUGGCAGUUUCUUACAAAAUGAAAUAUACAAAUAUCAUGCUACCCAGCAGUUGUACUCAUUGACAUUUAUCCCAGAGAAAUGAAAAUUGGUAUGCACAAAAGACCUGUACAUGAUUGUUCAUAGCAGCUUUUCUUAUGAUAGUCUAAAACUGGGACGAUGCAGGGGCGCCUGGGUGGCUCAGUCGUUAAGCGUCUGACUUCGGCUCAGGUCAUGAUCUCGCGGUCCGUGAGUUCGAGCCCCGCGUCGGGCUCUGUGCUGACAGCUCAGAGCCUGGAGCCUGUUUCAGAUUCUGUGUCUCCCUCUCUCUCUGGCCCUCCCCCGUUCAUGCUCUGUCUCUGUCUCAAAAAUAAUUAAACGUUAAAAAAAAAAAUUAAAACUGGAAGGAUGCAGAUAUCUUUAAAUAGACAAAUGGUUAAACAAAUUAUGGUACAUUUAUACCAUGCUCAGCAAUAAGAAGAAGAAACUAAUGUAUACAAAAACCUGCGGGAAUCUCUAGAGAAUUAAGCUGAUAGAAACAAAAACAAUCCCAAAAGCUUAUAUAUAUACUGUAUAUCUCCACUUACAUAACAUUCUAGCUUUCCCUUUAUAAUUUUUACAUUUUUGUAUCUAUUUUACAAAACACCCUCUAUGAACAAUUAAAAACAGAUCAUUCCAGCUUUAUACAACUCUUUCAAAGAAUAGAAAAAGAAAUAAUAAGUCUUCAACGCAUGUUAUGGGAUUAGUACAACCUUGGCAUCCAAACCAGACAAAGGAAUGAAGGUAAAUUACAGGCCAAUAUUACUCAAGACAUACUGCAAAAAUCCAAAAUCCAAAAAUCCAAAUAAAUAUUAGCAAACCGAAUCUAGCGACAUAUAAAUAAAAAAAUAAAUAUAUCAUGACCAAGUGGAGUAUAUUACAGGAAUGCAUGAUAAAAUAUGCUAAUAUAAUUUUCUCAUUAAAAAAUAAAAGUAGGGGCAUCUGGGUGGCUCAGUCAGUUGAGUGUUGGACUCUUGAUUUCAGCUCAGGUCACGAUCCCAGAGUCAUGGAAUCAAGCCACAUGUCAGGCUCCACGCUCAGCAUGGAGCUUGGGAUUCUCUCUCUCUCUCUCUCUCUCUCUCUCUGCCCCUCCCCCCCUUAAAAAACACAAAUAAGUAAAUAAAAUAAAAUAAAAAAAAAUAAAAGUUGAAAGGCAUUUGAUCAUCUCAGUAGAUGUAGAAAAACAAUACAAUUAAAGCAUUAUUUUAUGAUCAAAAACGUGGAAAACUUGAAAGAGAAGGAAAUGUCACUAACAUAAAAGAAUCUGAAUAAAAUAACAUCAAAACCAAAUCCUUAGAGUGAAUAUCACACUUACUGGUAAAAUGUUAAAAAGCAUUAUCUUCAAAAUAAGAAACAUAACAAGAUAUAUACUGUUAGUUGAAAACAGGAAAUAAGAAAGGAGGGGGAAUAAUAUAAAAACAGUCUUACCUUUCCACCUAAGCAAACUAAAAUGCACAGUCUCCCUACUCCUGUUUAAAACAACACAAUAAAGGGGCACCUGGGUUGCUCAAUUGGUUAAGCCAUAAAGCAUUUGACUCUUGGUUUCAGCUCAGGUCAUGACUUCAUGGUUUGCAUUGGGCUCUGUGCUGACAGUGUGGAGCCUGCUUGGGAUUCUUUGUCUCCCUCUCUUUCCGCCUCUCCCUGCUCUCUCUCUCUCUAUCUCUCUUUCAAAAUAAAUAAACAUUUAAAAAAAUAAAAAGAAAAAUAUCAUUUAGUAAAUAAUGUUUUCCUAUACUGAAAAUUUAUUUUAUCUACUACAUUAUUAGUAUGUAAUAAAAGAGUUUAGCAGGUUGUCAGAUACAAGAUCAAUACAAAAACCUUUUCAUUUCUAUCCAUAAACAAUUACAGAUUUAAAAAAUACAACUUAGGGGCACCUAGGUGGCUCAGUUGGUUGGGCAUCCAACUUUGGCUCAGGUCAUGAUCUCGAGGUCCGUGAGUUCGAGCCCACGUUGGGCUCUGUGCUGACAGCUCGGAACCUGGAGCCUGCUUUGGAUUCUGUGAGUUCCUCUCUCUCUGCCCCUCCCCUGCUUGCACUUUGUGUGUGUGUGUGCGUCUCUCUCUCUCAAAAAUAAAUAAACAUUAAAAAAGUACAACUUAUAAUUUACUUAUAACAAACAUGUAUAAAAAUAUAGGAGUUAUGAAUAAUUCUUAUAAAUAAUGUACACUAUUCUUAUGUAUGUAAUCGUAAAACUUCGUUUAGAUACAUCAAUAAAGAUGUCAAGUAAAGGGACAGACUUACCAUGUUCCUGAAUAAGAAGUCUCAUUAUUGUAAGGAUUUCAAAAAUCCCCAUGUUGAUCAUGUUCGUAGUUUUUAAACUUUACACUAUCCCCUAAAGACACUAUGGAAAAAAUUAACUUUUUUUUUUUUUAAACAAGUAAGGAUUAUAUUGUCUUUCUAGCUGCUUCAUCUAAAUCCUAAAAUAGUUUGCACUUCACUCAAGUGUAAUAAUGAGAAGGGGAAAGUAGAAGAAUACAAGUUCUAUAUUGGUUUAGAGGCAAUAUUAAAGUCUGAUUAUAAUAAUAUUUAAAAAUCGGAGAUAACUUUCAGAAGAUUAUGGUCAUCAGGAAAUUAAUACUGAAAACUAUAAUAAACCACCAGAUAAGGCUUUGCACUUUUCACAUUACUGCCAAAUCCACCUUUUCUUUUAAUUCAUCAAGAUCCUCUUAAAAAUCUAUUUAUUUAAUAAAUAUUUAUUGAAUUUUGACUAUAUUGUUUUAGGAGAUGGAGAUACAGAAAUGAGUAAGGCAGUGUAUUCCUUGAAUUCAUAGAAAUUAAAUUCUAAUGGGGGGACUUAAUUAACUAACAAGAUAGUAUUAAAUGAUAGCUUUUGUAAAGAAAAGAAAGCAAGGUAAUGUAAUAGAGAAUGAAUAGGGGAAAGAGAUGUUUUUUAAACUAAGCAAUCAAAAGAAAUGCCUCUAGGAGGUGCCAUUUGAGUGGAAAUCUGAUAACAGUAAGGACACCAUCCUACGGAGAGUUGGAGAGUUGUAGGCAAGGGAACAGCUAAUGCAAAUACCCUUCAGUGGGUGGAACUUUCUCACCAAGGCAGAGAGUGAUAAGAGGUGAGACCUGCAAUGUGGCAAGAUGAUUAUCCCGUAGAGUAGUGGUUCUCAAAGUCUGGUGCAUUUGGAUAAGGGCCCACCAGACACUUUAAGGGGUCAGCAAAGGCAAAACCGUUUUCAUAAUAAUACCAAGAUGUCAUUUCCCUUUCCUCUUUUCUCUUUUGUUGACAUUAGUGUUAAUAGCUCAAAAGCAAGGGUAGGUAAGACUACUGUAACCUCAGCACAGAUCAAGGCACCAAACUAUACUAAUAGUUAUUAUAGAUAUGCUGUUUGUUUGUUGUCUGCCUAACAUAUGGAAAUUUAUUUAUUAUUUUUUUAAUGUUUAUUUUUUUUUGAGAGAGAGAGACAGAGUGCGAGCAGGGGAGGGGCAGAGAGAGACAGAGACACAGAAUUCAAAGCAGGUUCCAGGCUCUGAGCUGACAGCAGGGCUUGAACUCAGGAACUGUGAAAUCAUGACCUGAGCCAAAGUUGGGUGUUUAAUCGACUGAGCCACCAGUGCCCCUCACAUAAGGAAUUUAUUAAGUGAACACUUACCAGCAAAGGAGGCAAAACUGGUGGAUGAAGUCCAACUCUGUCCUCCACUCAGACCUCCAUAUUUUCAUCCUUUUUUUUUUUUUUUUCUUUUGGUCUUUCCUGAGCUUCUAUCCUAAGCCUUCAACCCUCUCCAUCCUUCACCAUGCUUUUCAAAUGUUCCAAUUUGGGAAUUUCUUUUUCUUCAUCUGAGUACACCAUUUCAGAAACCUUCCAACUUGGACCAGGGGAAUUUGAAAUGUGUAUCUCAAAUUAGUUUAAAAUUACACUCAAGUUUCCAUCAGCAGCACCACACACAUCCUGAGUGAUAGUUAUAUAGCAAUAAGUAGAAACUGACACCAGAAACUUGAUCUGACUUCCUCCAUUUUCUCAUGAUAAAGUCCCAACCUCUUGUGUCAUUGUUGUCACUCCUGCUAAUUUCAUGCUUAUGUUUCAAUCUACCCUUAAAGCUUUCUAAAUUUUUGCCAAGGAUUCUUACUAACUUUCACAUUCACAUCUUCAGAAUGAUUGUGUUUUCUUUCCAGACAUAUCUGCAGUUUUGUACUUUGUUUCGUUGUCUCAACUUCUGUUUCUCUGGCGAACACCCUAAACACUCUUGCUUUUUAUUUCACAGGAAUGUUGUGGGUGCCAGCUGUAAAUGGGCUUGGCUUCUUUCUUACACCCUUAGUUAUCAGGGUCAUUUAAUCACUAUCUAGAUCUCUGAGAGUUUAAAAGUCUAAUAAGGAUGUUUGUUUGAGACCUGAGCGAAAAGAAUCUUGGCUCUGAAAUUAAAAAAACAAACAAACAAAACUUUGAAGUCAAAACUGAUCUUUUAUUCCAGUAGCAAAACUAUAAAAGUUCUCUGAAGUUUUUUUGUUUUUGGUUUUGUUUUUUUGGGGGAGGGUUGUUUUUUGGUUUUGGUUUUGGUUUUGGUUUUUAGAGAGAGGGCACUCAAGCAGGGGAGAGGGGCCGAGAGAGAAGAGAGAAUCAUAAGUAGCAUCCAAGCUCAGCAUGGGUCCCAACAUGGGGCUUGAUUCCACGACCCUGCGAUCGUGACCUGAGCCGAAAUCAAGAGUCGGACACUCAACUGACUGAGCCACCCAGACGCCCCACUUCUUUCCAGUUUUAAAAGAAAAAUGAUAUGUGGGGUGCCUGGGUGGCUCAGUCGGUUAAGCGUCUGACUUCGGCUCAGGUCAUGAUCUCACGGUCUGUCGGUUCAAGCCCCGCGUUGGGCUCUGUGCUGACAGCUUGGAGCCUGGAGCCUGCUUCAGAUUCUGUGUCUCCCUCUCUUUGCCCCUCCCCUGCUCACGUUCUGCCUCUCUCUCUCUCUCAAAAAUAAAUAAACAUUAACAAAAAAAAAAAAAAGAAAAAUGAUAUGUGUGCAACAUGGUUCCAUUUAAUAAAUUUGAUAUGCUGUGUCACUGGGCAACUAAUUUUUACAUUCUUGAAGGAUUAAGAAGACACUUUUCCCCCUCGAUCUUCUGUUAUCACUUUAAAUCCAAUCCUAUUUCCUCAGACAUUUGGUCAUCCUUCAAAUAAUUUUGCCAAAUCUUAAACAUUUGACAAAUUAAUUUUUCCUCAUAUAUAACAUGAAAAGAAAUAUCUACCACUCUACAUUUCAUAACUUCUGUUUCGUUCUUUCACACAUAUCCUUUGGGUCCACUUUAAAUAUACUGCAGACAAUAAGGAAGUAUAUCUAAAUAAAUGUAGUUUAAACUUUUGUUCCUCCGGUAGAUUUCCAUAAAUUUGUUUUAGGGAUAAUUUCUAAAUCAUGUUCAGCUCUACCAUAGUGUCUUGGAUACAACUGGAAUUUCUUCCCACUGCCAUUCUUUUCUAAUAUAGUAAAGUUGGCAUAUGCUUAACAUUUUCAAUUAAUUUCAUUUAAGUACAAUUAAAAAAAUUUUUUUUUUAUUUUUAGAGAGAGAGAAGGUGCAUGAGCAGGGGAGAGGGACAGAGGGGGAGAGAGGGAGACAGAGAGGGAGAUGGAGUGGGGAGAGAGAGAGGGACACAGAGAAAAUCUUAACAGACUCUAUGCUCACUGCAGAGCCUGACAUCGGGCUCAAUCCCACAAUCCUGGGAUCAUGACCCGAGCAGAAAUCAAGAGUCAGACGCUCAACUGACUGAGCCCCCUAGGCAGCCCAGUUAAAUACAGUUUUAACUGAAGUUAGAGGAGAAAUACCUACUGCGCACAAAAGCGGCACAAAGGUAGGAGCAAUCAAUUCUGCCACUUGGAGAAGGCAUAGAGGAACAACAAUAACAGCUAUUGAGUACUGAGUGUGUGACAAGAACUUCGUAAUACCAUUUUAAUUAACCCACACGUCUCCACACUGGAAUCUGCAAAGUUCACAGCAACAGUAGCUGAAUUUUUACUUAUUAUUGCUCCUGUGAGUGUUUCUAAAAGUUGCUGGUCAUGUCUUGCAUAUUGUCCAAUAAGCCUGCUUGUGCUGGGUGCUGCUACAGGCCCACGGUGCAUGAGGGUUCUGCCCUCUAGCAGGUGCAAUUUGCUAGUACACAGAAGUCCCUCUCUGGGUGCUUCCACAGCUCCAGCAGGCCCUGACACAACCAUGCAGGAUCCUUAAGAUGCCAGAGCAGGGUGCCAAUCUUUGACCAAGUGGGGAAUAGCAUCCCUCUCCUUUCGCUGAUGGAGUCUAUUAGAGGGCCACUAGGCAAUGAUAUCUGUGACUUAAUAUUCUACUAAGCACUUUGCCACACUGUUUCACUUUUUCAUUCCAGGCCUUUUUCUCCCCUGAAAUAAAACAUGCAUUCUGGGCCAGACCAGAAACGGAUUUGAGUAAUAUGGCAACUAAGCUCUACAUUUCAAAGCUUGGCAGUGUCCCUGGGAAUGAAUUCCCUUCAACAUGGC
Molecule: long non-coding RNA, 27424 nt
Filed under: Lynx pardinus (Iberian lynx)
Lineage: Eukaryota; Metazoa; Chordata; Mammalia; Carnivora; Felidae
Source: RNAcentral